Molecule: ribosomal RNA, 386 nt
Filed under: uncultured bacterium
Lineage: Bacteria
Description: bacterial SSU rRNA
Rfam family: Bacterial small subunit ribosomal RNA
Source: RNAcentral
AUUGAACGCUGGCGGCAUGCCUUACACAUGCAAGUCGAACGGCAGCACGGGGCAACCUGGUGGCGAGUGGCGAACGGGUGAGUAAUGCAUCGGAACGUGCCAUUGAGUGGGGGAUAACGGAGCGAAAGUUGCGCUAAUACCGCAUAUUCUGUGAGCAGGAAAGCAGGGGACCGCAAGGCCUUGCGCUCUUUGAGCGGCCGAUGUCAGAUUAGCUAGUUGGUGAGGUAACGGCUUACCAAGGCGACGAUCUGUAGCGGGUCUGAGAGGAUGAUCCGCCACACUGGAACUGAGACACGGUCCAGACUCCUACGGGAGGCAGCAGUGGGGAAUUUUGGACAAUGGGCGCAAGCCUGAUCCAGCCAUGCCGCGUGAGUGAAGAAGGCCUU